AAGUAAUCCUCGUGUGUGACAGAGAGAGAGAGAGAGAGAGAGAGAGAAACGAGCUGGCGGAGAGGAGCAGAAGGCAGGAGGGGAAAUCUGGCACAACGGCUGGGAGAGGAAACUUGAUGCUUCUGGGCCACCAUUUGCCAGGGCCUCGCUCGAGACGCCGAAAGGAGCCUGUUUGUGUGCUGCGGCCGUGCUGUGACUCUGGAUCUUGUCUUUCAGCCGGCGCCUCUGUUCCUGCCCAGCUGGAUUUGGGGGGCAGCAUUGCCUGGCGCAGGGAGAUCAAAUGAGACUGCAAAGAAGCAUAAAAUGAAUAGACAAUCCAACCAACCAAAGACCGGGGGCAGCAGCAGGCCAGCAAGACGGCAUCUUCUCCUUCCCAGCCUAGAAGCCCUGUGAAAUCGAGGAUCUUCCCCCUAAAACACAUACACACAAGAAAUGUGCAAUCAAGCUGCCACCGCUUGGUAAAAAGCUCAUGGUGCCUAACCAAAAAGGAUCAGGAACAGAUCCUUGAAUCAGCUGUCACUUCUAUAGAAUGGGAUGUUUUUUUUUUCCUUCCUCCUUAACCUGCGCUGGAAA
Molecule: long non-coding RNA, 573 nt
Filed under: Pongo abelii (Sumatran orangutan)
Lineage: Eukaryota; Metazoa; Chordata; Mammalia; Primates; Hominidae
Description: lincRNA
Source: RNAcentral